UCGGACAUGGUGUAGGGUACACCGCCUCUCCUCUUACACUGUAGCCCGUGAACGGAGGCAGUCCGGGGUUCGACUCCCCGUGUCCGAA
This is a non-coding RNA of Mycena vulgaris, 88 nucleotides long. The record is from the annotation of a GenBank genome assembly. NCBI's taxonomy places the organism in Eukaryota, Fungi, Basidiomycota, Agaricomycetes, Agaricales, Mycenaceae.